AACAGGAUUAGAUACCCUGGUAGUCCACGCCGUAAACGUUGGGCGCUAGGUGUGGGGCUCUUUCCACGAGUUCCGUGCCGCAGCAAACGCAUUAAGCGCCCCGCCUGGGGAGUACGGCCGCAAGGCUAAAACUCAAAGGAAUUGACGGGGGCCCGCACAAGCGGCGGAGCAUGCGGAUUAAUUCGAUGCAACGCGAAGAACCUUACCAAGGCUUGACAUGGGCGGUAAUCCGGCAGAGAUGUCGGGUCCGUAAGGGCCGUUCACAGGUGGUGCAUAGUUGUCGUCAGCUCGUGUCGUGAGAUGUUGGGUUAAGUCCCGCAACGAGCGCAACCCUCGUUCCAUGUUGCCAGCACGUUAUGGUGGGGACUCAUGGGAGACUGCCGGGGUCAACUCGGAGGAAGGUGGGGAUGACGUCAAAUCAUCAUGCCCCUUAUGUCUUGGGCUUCACGCAUGCUACAAUGGCCAGUACAAAGGGCUGCGAGACCGUGAGGUGGAGCGAAUCCCAAAAAGCUGGUCUCAGUUCGGAUCGGGGUCUACAACUCGACCCCGUGAAGUCGGAGUCGCUAGUAAUCGCAGAUCAGCAACGCUGCGGUGAAUACGUUCCCGGGCCUUGUACACACCGCCCGUCACGUCACGAAAGUCGGUAACACCCGAAGCCGGUGGCCUAACCCCUUGUGGGAGGGAGCUGUCGAAGGUGGGACUGGCGAUUGGGACGAAGUCGUAACAAGGUAACC
Molecule: ribosomal RNA, 734 nt
Filed under: uncultured bacterium
Lineage: Bacteria
Description: bacterial SSU rRNA
Rfam family: Bacterial small subunit ribosomal RNA
Source: RNAcentral